RNAcentral lists this ribosomal RNA (472 nucleotides) under uncultured bacterium. RNAcentral's name for it is "partial 16S ribosomal RNA". It matches the Rfam family "Bacterial small subunit ribosomal RNA", at positions 30 to 507 of the family's 1533-position model. The record is from RNAcentral.
AGUGAACGCUGGCGGUAGGCCUAACACAUGCAAGUCGAACGGCAGCACAGUAAGAGCUUGCUCUUACGGGUGGCGAGUGGCGGACGGGUGAGGAAUACAUCGGAAUCUACUCUUUCGUGGGGGAUAACGUAGGGAAACUUACGCUAAUACCGCAUACGACCUACGGGUGAAAGCAGGGGAUCUUCGGACCUUGCGCGAUUGAAUGAGCCGAUGGCGGAUUAGCUAGUUGGCGGGGUAGUGGCCCACCAAGGCGUUGAUGGGUAGCUGGUCUGAGAGGGUGACCGGCGACAUUGGGACGGGGAUACGGCCCAGACUGCUAAGGGAGGGAGUAGUGGGGAAUAUUGAACAAUGGGCGGAAGCCUAAUGCAGCAACGCCGCGUGCGGGAUGACGGCCUUCGGGUUGUAAACCGCUUUCGCCUGUGACGAAGCGUGAGUGACGGUAAUGGGUAAAGAAGCACCGGCUAACUACGUG